Molecule: ribosomal RNA, 301 nt
Filed under: uncultured bacterium
Lineage: Bacteria
Description: partial 16S ribosomal RNA
Rfam family: Bacterial small subunit ribosomal RNA
Source: RNAcentral
CAGUCGCCGCGGGAAUACGGAGGGUGCAAGCGUUAUCCGGAUUUAUUGGGUUUAAAGGGUCCGUAGGCGGAUCUGUAAGUCAGUGGUGAAAUCUCACAGCUUAACUGUGAAACUGCCAUUGAUACUGCAGGUCUUGAGUAAAUUUGAAGUGGCUGGAAUAAGUAGUGUAGCGGUGAAAUGCAUAGAUAUUACUUAGAACACCAAUUGCGAAGGCAGGUCACUAAGAUUUAACUGACGCUGAUGGACGAAAGCGUGGGGAGCGAACAGGAUUAGAUACCCCGGUAGUCCCUGUCUCUUAUAC